GAUGAACGCUGGCGGCGUGCCUAAUACAUGCAAGUCGAGCGAACGGACGAGAAGCUUGCUUCUCUGAUGUUAGCGGCGGACGGGUGAGUAACACGUGGAUAACCUACCUAUAAGACUGGGAUAACUUCGGGAAACCGGAGCUAAUACCGGAUAAUAUUUUGAACCGCAUGGUUCAAAAGUGAAAGACGGUCUUGCUGUCACUUAUAGAUGGAUCCGCGCUGCAUUAGCUAGUUGGUAAGGUAACGGCUUACCAAGGCAACGAUGCAUAGCCGACCUGAGAGGGUGAUCGGCCACACUGGAACUGAGACACGGUCCAGACUCCUACGGGAGGCAGCAGUAGGGAAUCUUCCGCAAUGGGCGAAAGCCUGACGGAGCAACGCCGCGUGAGUGAUGAAGGUCUUCGGAUCGUAAAACUCUGUUAUUAGGGAAGAACAUAUGUGUAAGUAACUGUGCACAUCUUGACGGUACCUAAUCAGAAAGCCACGGCUAACUACGUGCCAGCAGCCGCGGUAAUACGUAGGUGGCAAGCGUUAUCCGGAAUUAUUGGGCGUAAAGCGCGCGUAGGCGGUUUUUUAAGUCUGAUGUGAAAGCCCACGGCUCAACCGUGGAGGGUCAUUGGAAACUGGAAAACUUGAGUGCAGAAGAGGAAAGUGGAAUUCCAUGUGUAGCGGUGAAAUGCGCAGAGAUAUGGAGGAACACCAGUGGCGAAGGCGACUUUCUGGUCUGUAACUGACGCUGAUGUGCGAAAGCGUGGGGAUCAAACAGGAUUAGAUACCCCGGUAGUCCACGCCGUAAACGAUGAGUGCUAAGUGUUAGGGGGUUUCCGCCCCUUAGUGCUGCAGCUAACGCAUUAAGCACUCCGCCUGGGGAGUACGACCGCAAGGUUGAAACUCAAAGGAAUUGACGGGGACCCGCACAAGCGGUGGAGCAUGUGGUUUAAUUCGAAGCAACGCGAAGAACCUUACCAAAUCUUGACAUCCUUUGACAACUCUAGAGAUAGAGCCUUCCCCUUCGGGGGACAAAGUGACAGGUGGUGCAUGGUUGUCGUCAGCUCGUGUCGUGAGAUGUUGGGUUAAGUCCCGCAACGAGCGCAACCCUUAAGCUUAGUUGCCAUCAUUAAGUUGGGCACUCUAAGUUGACUGCCGGUGACAAACCGGAGGAAGGUGGGGAUGACGUCAAAUCAUCAUGCCCCUUAUGAUUUGGGCUACACACGUGCUACAAUGGACAAUACAAAGGGCAGCGAAACCGCGAGGUCAAGCAAAUCCCAUAAAGUUGUUCUCAGUUCGGAUUGUAGUCUGCAACUCGACUACAUGAAGCUGGAAUCGCUAGUAAUCGUAGAUCAGCAUGCUACGGUGAAUACGUUCUCGGGUCU
Molecule: ribosomal RNA, 1372 nt
Filed under: uncultured bacterium
Lineage: Bacteria
Description: bacterial SSU rRNA
Rfam family: Bacterial small subunit ribosomal RNA
Source: RNAcentral